This 500-nucleotide ribosomal RNA is filed under the name uncultured bacterium. RNAcentral describes it as "partial 16S ribosomal RNA". It matches the Rfam family "Bacterial small subunit ribosomal RNA", at positions 29 to 523 of the family's 1533-position model. The record is from RNAcentral.
AUUGAACGCUGGCGGCAUGCCUUACACAUGCAAGUCGAACGGCAGCACGGGGGCAACCCUGGUGGCGAGUGGCGAACGGGUGAGUAAUGCAUCGGAACGUGCCCAGUAGCGGGGGAUAACUACGCGAAAGCGUAGCUAAUACCGCAUACGUACUAAGGUAGAAAGCAGGGGAUCGCAAGACCUUGCGCUAUUGGAGCGGCCGAUGUCUGAUUAGCUAGUUGGUGGGGUAAAAGCCUACCAAGGCGACGAUCAGUAACUGGUCUGAGAGGACGACCAGUCACACUGGGACGGAGACACGGCCCAGACUCCUACGGGAGGCAGCAGUGGGGAAUUUUGGACAAUGGGGGAAACCCUGAUCCAGCAAUGCCGCGUGUGUGAAGAAGGCCUUCGGGUUGUAAAGCACUUUUGUUCGGAACGAAACGGCGCCGGCUAAUACCUGGCGCUAAUGACGGUACCGGAAGAAUAAGCACCGGCUAACUACGUGCCAGCAGCCGCCGUAA